CGCAUGGCGGACGGGUCCCUCACACCACCGCGACCCCCGGUGCGGCUCACGCGGGCCACCGCGGCGUGGCGCUCCAGACGGCGGCCCCAACGGACGGAGGAGGGCGGCGCAGCCCACAUCGGACUCGACAAAGAAAGAGAGGCAGAGACACAGGCAGAGGAAGAAGCAGGCUGCAUGCGGGGAGCCCGACGCGGGACUCCAGGACCAUACCCUGGCUGAAGGCGGCGCUAAACCGCGGAGCCCCCCGGGCCAUCCAGCGUCUUCGUAUCUUACUGAAAACAACUUUUCUACGGGAAACUCCACCGCAAGUUUCCAAAGACCGGAAACUGCGGUUUGAAACGGGCGAAUGAGACCUCUCUGAUCCAUUCCGUCAACAAUCUCCUAAACAAAGAGGUGGAGAAGCAGAAACACACCGGAGGAGAGAUGGGGAGGCCGAUGGGGUGGGCGGGUGACCUGGCAACGGACAGGGACAAAGUUCUUUGCUGUCCCCCAAAGAACUUACCCAGAAUCAUGGAAAUUGAGUACUCUGAAGGCUGAAGUGAGGCACAGAUGCUGCAAGGUCCAAAGGAGGCAUGUGGACCCUGCCCACCCUCCAAAGGAUGAGGUGCCCCCGCCCUGGGGUUGACCUGAGGCUCAUUCUUGGGGGCCUGGACCAGAGACGCCCAGACUCCAGGACAUCUGCUCACAGAGGGUGGGGUCGGGCCCAGUGCUGAACAGAGGAGGACUGAACAGGAGUGUCCACACUCUUGGGGCCAGCCAGCCCCUCCUGCCAGCUCCAGAACACCAGAAGCCAGACCUAAAUGCCACCCUCAGCAAGAGGUCAGAGGCUCCCUCUCCGGAGAGACUAAAAGCUCCUGCAGAGAAAAGGCCUACAAAUAUACUGACAUUUGGAAGUCAAACUAAAAAGCAAGUUGUCCACCAUUCACCCUGCAGGAAAUCCCAUGGCCAAUGUCAGUGCUCGCCCAGUGGCUCGGACCUUAGCUGCUGCAGAGUCCUCCAGUAGACUUCCAACAGUGGUGCCUGCAUCUCAUGCCUGCAGAGUCACCCAAGACCUCAGAAGACUGCUCUGCCUUCUUGUAGCAGGUGGACGGGUCCUGACAUUUACCCUCCCCUACCCCAUAGUGUUCAAUCAGUGAUUCAGAAAAGUCAAGGCAUAGCCCAGCUCCAUCAUCAUGCAGGUGGAGUAAUUCUGAGGAGUGUGUUUUGCACUAUAUUCAGAGUUCUCUGCAGGACCAGGUUCCAAACAUACACCGUACUAGCUGGCUUCAAAACUCAUCCUUUCUUGUUGGCCUUCCCUUGUGUUCCACAACUCACUACCCUACUAGGAUUUCCUUCACCUCCCAGAUAAACUGCUUGCCCUCAAAUCCUCCAUUUGGGAGACAGUCUACAAGUUCUCCAUGUAAGCACGCACACAGAGCCUCCAAUCAGCUUGCAUGCUUCGCUCUUAAAUAUGAUAGAUAUAGAUCACCAGAUACUUGAGAUAAGUCUUCAGGAUGAACAACAGAAACCAAAACAAGUGGGUGAAAUUCAGAGCAAGUGCUGUGGUUGCCAGCCUUCUCCAGGUUGGCUGCCUCCUGGUACUCAGUGUGUGGUCCUCAGACCACACAAAAGAGAUACUUACCUCUGAGAUUAGGUUAUAAAAAACACUAGUUUCCAUCUUAGUUACCCCUCCACAAUUCCCAGAUAACUCACUUUGGAAAAAGCUGUCAUGUUGAGCAGCCAUAUGGAGAAGCCCAUGUAGUAAGGAAUGGAGGCCUCCAGCCAUCAACCACAUGACUGAACUUGGGAGGCAAUCCUUCAUCUCCAUCCUUGCCUUAAGUCAGUCCAGUCCUGGCUGAUAUCACAAACUCAUGAGAGACCCCAGGCCAGAACCAACCACUAGGUCCUUCCAGAUUUCUGGCCCACAGAAACUGUGAGGUAGGAAACAUUUAUUGUUUUAAGUCACAAAACUGUGGGAAUAAUUUAUUAUGUGGCACUAUUAACUAGUAUAAGUACAUACUUUGCUAAGAGAGGAAAACCCCCAAAGAUUUCCCUAAGACGAGGUAAAGCACGGCACGGAUGAAACAAUCAGAGACAGGAAUGCCCAGAAGUUACAAAUACAGUAGCAUAAAUCUAAGUCAGUAGAAGCACUGGAAAAUAAAGCUAAGAAGGUUUCCGAGAAAGCAGAAUGGAAAGUCAAGGAAGUGGACGAUAGGGAUUUUUUUUUCUAAUUAGAGUUAGGUAAUGAAGCCAGGAGAUCCAACAUCUGACAAAUAGGAGUUUCAGAACAAGAACACAUAGAAAAUCAAGAGAAUAAAAUUAUCAAAGAAGUAACACCAGAAAUUUUCCCAGAACCGAAGGGCACGAGCCUUCAGACUGAAGAGCACACCAAGUUUCCAAACAAUAAAAGAACAAAGGCAUACUUUUCUGACAUUUCAGAACACUGAGGAUAAAAGCUUUCAGAAAGAGGAAAAUUAGGUCAUAAAACAGGAUCAAAAAUCUGAAUGGCAUCAGACUUCUCAAUAGCAGCAUGGAAACCUGAAUGCAGUAGGAAAAAGUGCCUUCGAAAUCCUAGGUAAAAAUAAUUUCAAAACUAGGAGUCUAUACUCAAGCAGGCUGUGAACUGAACAUGAGAAGAGAAUAAGGCAUCUGAGGAUAUUACAAGAGAAUAAACUCCACUAAGACUAGGUAGGAAAGAAGAUAAAGCAGCAAGAUCCAGGAAGCAUGAACUCCCAUCACAGGAGUGAGUAAAGGAAAGUUCUGGGCCAGAACCAUGUGGCACCCUAGAGGGUACGGCAUAUGGGGCAGGUAUCAGAGGGCUCCAGAACAACAUCUCCAGGGAGAAAAGAGGGCUGAUAAACUAUCAACAGGCUUGACCUUGUGGAAGCUGACAUAGAAAAACAUGUUGGAAGGUACACCAAAGCCUAAACAAUUAUAAACUCUAAGUCAUAUGAAAAAAAUCUGUAGUUAUAUUAGUCAUAAUAAAACUUGUGUGUAGAUUUAACCAAAAACUGAGAUAUCAUUUGGUGAAGUUGGAAGAUCAGGAAGGGGUGUGAGUAGGCUAAAAACCUGAUUUACUAUAAAAGAAGGCUCAAAAGUGAAAUCUAAAAUUGAUGUCCAGAAACUUCAGUGUAUACAUAAUGCUUGAAAAUACAGAAGGGUUGUGGACUGAAAGUUUACAUCCCCCAAAAUUCAUAUGUCAAAAUCUUAGCCCCUAGCGUAAUAGUAUUAAGAUGUGGGGCCUUUGGGGACACCUGAGUGGCUCAGUGGUUGAGCGUCUGCCUUCAGCUCAGGUCAUGAUUCUGGGGUCCUGGGAUCGAGUCCUGCGUCGAGCUCCCUGUAGGGAGCCUGCUUCUCCCUCUGCCUGUGUCUCUGCCUCACUCUCUGUGUCUCUCAUUAAUAAAUAAAUAAAAUCUUAAAAAAAAGACGUGGGGCCUUUGGGAGGGGAUUGGGUCAUGAGGCUAGAGCCUUCAUGAUGAGGUCAGUGCCUUUGCAGGAAGAAACACGAGAGCUUGCUGUCUGCUCUCUGCCAUGUGAGAACACAGCAUGAAGACAGCCGUCUCCACUCCAGGAAAUGGGCCCUCACCAGACACAGGUCUGCAGCGCCUUGAUCUCGGACCUCCCAGCCUCCAGAGCUGUGCAAAACUUUUGUUGCCGGAAGCCACUCUGUCUACGACAAUUUGUUACAACAGGCUGGACUAAAGACAGGAGCUUCGCACAGUAGGUAAUCCAGAGGAUGCUAAAAGUUUUGUCAGGAGGAUAAUUAAGAGCACGAAACAAAGAUGGAAUCAUGGAAUUGUAGAGCUGGCAAAGAACUCCCAGGUUCCUGACCCAGAGCACUCAAUGUGCAGACCUGUAAACUGAGCCCCACAGGUGCCGUGCACCCCCCAAGACAUGUGUACUAAGCAGCACAGCCAGGACCCAUGCCUGGGUCUCUAGCUCUCCAGGACCUGUUGCCUUUAUGUAGCCAGAGCACCUAAACUCCUCAGGACCAUCCUCCAGAGACUGUGCUCAGUGGGAAAAGUCUUCCAGAACAAUGACCUGACAGGGUAGAGGGAGAAAAAAGAAAGAUGCUGGGAAAAUUAGUUCCACACCUGCUUAGAGCCCAUGAGCAAGGCGUCAGAACAUUGACUAUGGCAUAUCUAACAGGCUCUACCCCCCAUGCCUGACCCUUUUGUGAAAACUUUAUAGAUCUAACCCCAAAGUCUUUGGCUCAGAACGGAGCUCAGACAAACAUGGGCAUGGCCAGCAAGCCCCAGACACAAGCCCCUCAUGUGAGGAAAUGGGUUUGUCCUGGCACAUGACCUCCAGCCAUAACAAAAUGACCAGAUUUUCCAAUAAAAGUAACUGGACUCA
Long non-coding RNA from Canis lupus familiaris (dog), 4335 nucleotides. RefSeq lists it as uncharacterized. The transcript is spliced from 3 exons. The record is from RefSeq and is a predicted model, not a curated record. NCBI's taxonomy places the organism in Eukaryota, Metazoa, Chordata, Mammalia, Carnivora, Canidae.